AUUGAACGCUGGCGGCCGGCCUAACACAUGCAAGUCGAGCGAGCGGCGGACGGGUGAGUAAUGUAUGGGGACUGCCCGAUAGAGGGGGGUAACUACUGGAAACGGUAGCUAAUACCGCAUACUAUCGGAUAACCCAUAUGGGAUUAGCUAGUAGGUGAGGUAAUGGCUCACCUAGGCGACGAUCCCUAGCUGGUCUGAGAGGAUGAUCAGCCACACUGGGACUGAGCCACGGCCCAGACUCCUCCGGGGGCGGCAGUGGGGAAUAUUGCACAAUGGGCGAAAGCCUGAUGCAGCAAGCCCGCGUGUAGGAAGAGGGCCUUAGGGUUGUAAAGUACUUUCGGUCGGGAGGCGUUACCGACAGAAGAAGCACCGGCUAACUCCGUGCCAGCAGCCGCGGUAAUUC
Molecule: ribosomal RNA, 403 nt
Filed under: uncultured bacterium
Lineage: Bacteria
Description: partial 16S ribosomal RNA
Rfam family: Bacterial small subunit ribosomal RNA
Source: RNAcentral